AUCUGAAAUGCCAUGUUAUUUUCCUGGAAGCUUGCUGAAUAAUAUAUAUUUACGCAUUUCAUGCCAAGAUUCGUAUAUGUUAUUGUCACUGUUUUUUCCACGGAGAUAUGAAAUAAAAAUACUAAAGUUUAAAACUUCCGAAAAUUCAAGUUAUUUCGUCUUUCCAUCAAAUUUAGUUGUACACGGACGUAAGAUUUAGUCGUAUCGCGUACGAACUGUGAGCAUAAAUGUAAAAAGGUGGUCACUUCUAAAUUUCUAAAAAUUUCCGAGAAAAAGAAUCAAAGUCCUUAGGUGUACACCAUUUACACAGCCAUUUAGAUUAUUUCGCCAUUUAGACUAUUUCGAGCGAGUUUUCUGUGUGUGAGAGAUAAGUAAUUUGUUUGCUGAUCAUUUUAUUCGGUGAGUCAUUUAAAUUAAGAAGAGAGAGAACAAUGCCUAGCUGUGUAGCAGAUUAUUACACAAACUCUGCUAAAAAGGAUUUUAAAAUGUGUCGCUUUCUACGAGACUUAAAAAGACGAAAAAUUUAUGCUGAAAGUACAGGACGACAAGACUGAAUUACGUCUAAUUGUGAUGAGUAGUAUAUGGGCAGCCAUGGAGCGUCACAACAAACCCCCUCCACGUCUCCCUCUGGCG
This is a long non-coding RNA of Trachymyrmex septentrionalis, 633 nucleotides long. RefSeq lists it as uncharacterized. NCBI's taxonomy places the organism in Eukaryota, Metazoa, Arthropoda, Insecta, Hymenoptera, Formicidae. The transcript is spliced from 3 exons. The record is from RefSeq and is a predicted model, not a curated record.